This 96-nucleotide ribosomal RNA is filed under the name uncultured bacterium. RNAcentral's name for it is "partial 16S ribosomal RNA". The record is from RNAcentral.
CACACCACGGGAGUUGGCAAUGCCCAAAGACCCCGCCUUGAGCGCAAAUAUUUUGCGAGCAGAGCGGGGUCAAAGGCAGGGUCAAUGACUAGGGUG